CUUCACGAUGGCUCGUGAUGCUUCGGGACCUSGGUCACGAGGUACGCGGUCGUCGCGUAUGUCCGACGUCGUCGACGUGCACUUCUCCCCUAGUAGGACGUCGCGACCCGUUGGGUGUCGGUCUAAGGUCCGGAUGGGAGCCUGUCUCGUCGUUUCGGCGCAUCGAGUCAGACCACCGGUAACCAGACGCCGGCUGCCCGACGGUACUCAACAUGGUAUCGGGCCGCAAUAUCGAACUGCGUCGGAUCCGUUGCAAGCUUGAUCAGUGUUUCACGAAGUUUCGCGGACCUAGCGCCGCACUCGUGCCUGAUCGGCUGUUGGUUGACGGUUUUCUCCGACCGGCCAUUAAAGAUAAGCGAUACCGGUCGGCGACGCUACUGCUUUGGGUAAUCUCAGGACCCGUCUUGAAACACGGACCAAGGAGUCUAACAUGUGCGCGAGUCAUUGGGACCGCAUGCCUAAAGGCGAAAUGAAAGUGAAGGUCGGUCUUAGCACCGAUCGAGGGAGRAUGGGCCGCGUCAAAUGCGGCUCCGCACUCCCGGGGC
This 545-nucleotide ribosomal RNA is filed under the name Sclerodermus sp. MC-2010. Its description in RNAcentral is "eukaryotic LSU rRNA". The record is from RNAcentral. Lineage: Eukaryota; Metazoa; Arthropoda; Insecta; Hymenoptera; Bethylidae.